CCUACGGGAGGCAGCAGUGGGGAAUAUUGGACAAUGGGCGAAAGCCUGAUCCAGCAAUGCCGCGUGAGUGAUGAAGGCCUUAGGGUUGUAAAGCUCUUUUACCAGGGAUGAUAAUGACAGUACCUGGAGAAUAAGCUCCGGCUAACUCCGUGCCAGCAGCCGCGGUAAUACGGAGGGAGCUAGCGUUGUUCGGAAUUACUGGGCGUAAAGAGUACGUAGGCGGUUAUUCAAGUCAGAGGUGAAAGCCCGGGGCUCAACCCCGGAACUGCCUUUGAAACUAGAUAGCUAGAAUCUUGGAGAGGUCAGUGGAAUUCCGAGUGUAGAGGUGAAAUUCGUAGAUAUUCGGAAGAACACCAGUGGCGAAGGCGACUGACUGGACAAGUAUUGACGCUGAGGUACGAAAGCGUGGGGAGCAAACAGGAUUAGAUACCCUGGUAGUCCACGCCGUAAACGAUGAUAACUAGUUGUUCGGGCACUUGGUGCCUGAGUGACGCAGCUAACGCAUUAAGUUAUCCGCCUGGGGAGUACGGUCGCAAGAUUAAAACUCGAAAGGAAUUGAACGGCUGNGAGUGCGAGACGACACGAGGAGGAGG
Molecule: ribosomal RNA, 593 nt
Filed under: uncultured bacterium
Lineage: Bacteria
Description: bacterial SSU rRNA
Rfam family: Bacterial small subunit ribosomal RNA
Source: RNAcentral